UACGUAGGGAGCAAGCGUUGUCCGUAAUCAUUGGGCGUAAAGCGCGCGUAGGCGGCCUUGUAAGUCCGUUGUGAAAGUCAAAGGCUCAACCUUUGAAAGCCGAUGGAUACUGUGAGGCUAGAGUCCGGAAGAGGCGAGUGGAAUUCCUGGUGUAGCGGUGGAAUGCGCAGAUAUCAGGAGGAACACCAAUAGCGAAGGCAGCUCGCUGGGACGGUACUGACGCUAAGGCGCGAAAGCGUGGGGAGCGAACAGG
This 253-nucleotide ribosomal RNA is filed under the name uncultured bacterium. RNAcentral's name for it is "partial 16S ribosomal RNA". It matches the Rfam family "Bacterial small subunit ribosomal RNA", at positions 524 to 776 of the family's 1533-position model. The record is from RNAcentral.